RNAcentral lists this long non-coding RNA (888 nucleotides) under Manihot esculenta (cassava). RNAcentral describes it as "long non-coding RNA (MESC_LNC008817)". The record is from RNAcentral. Lineage: Eukaryota; Viridiplantae; Streptophyta; Magnoliopsida; Malpighiales; Euphorbiaceae.
UAUGACAAACAGCCCCCAAGCUUUACUUCAAGUUAUCCCUUGAAUGGGCAAGAAGAAAGUAUGCCUUCUGGCUCAAUGGAUAAGGAAAGGGUUGAAAUUACUAAUACUUAUGUGGUUACAGAAGAGAAGAUGCAAAAGGUGUCACCACCUCGUAGAAAAGGAUCUAGGGAGGAAAAGACGGAGAAGUUGGGUAACUGGUUGAAAAAAGAUAACAUUGGUUCUGAUCUCCCCCUUACAAACAGCAGACAGCAGAACUCAGGAAACUACCCUGCUAAUAAUACUGGUUUGCGACAUUUUGAACCUGAUCCUCAUUCAGAUGAAAUUACUAAUACUUAUGGUGGUUCUACAAGUCAAAAAGUCCAUUCAUCAUCCUUCCAAAACUAUAUGGAUGCAGAAGAGAAGAUGCAAAAGGUGUCACCACCUCGUAGAAAAGGAUCUAGGGAGGAAAAGACAGAGAAGUUGGGUAACUGGUUGAAAAAAGAUAACAUUGGUUCUGAUCUCCCCCUUACAAACAGCAGACUGCAGAACCCAGGAAACUACCCUGCUAAUAAUUCUGGGUUGCGACAUUUUGAACCUGAUACUCAUUCAGAUGAAAUUACUAAUACUUAUGGUGGUUCUACAAGUCAAAAAGUCCAUUCAUCAUCCUCCCAAAACUAUGUGGAUACAGAAGCGAAGAUGCAAAAGGUGUCACCACCUCGUAAAAAAGGAUCUAGGGAGGAAAAGACGGAGAAGUUGGGUAACUGGUUGAAAAAAGAUAACAUUGGUUCUGAUCUCCCCCCUACAAACAGCAGACAGCAGAACCCAGGAAACUACCCUGCUAAUAAUACUGGGUUGCGACAUUUUGAACCUGAUCCUCAUUCAGAUGGGAAUAUUGAUGCCAUACUUGAG